GGAGUUGGUGAUAAAGGUUCGACUCCUUUCUUUCUGA
Molecule: transfer RNA, 37 nt
Filed under: Melanocharis citreola (Satin berrypecker)
Lineage: Eukaryota; Metazoa; Chordata; Aves; Passeriformes; Melanocharitidae
Description: partial tRNA-Pro
Source: RNAcentral